UCAAAUCCAGAGAUUUACGCAAGUACUCAUUAAAACAUUAAUAAAAAUACAGAGUAUUUAGCAAUACCUGAAUGUCUGAUAUUAAUUGAUCACAGUCCGCAUUGAGAAUUCAAUUGAGCUCGUUUUCCUCACACAGACCGUUUGUUUAUUCCUCAUAUUCCUUACACAGACCAUUUUUCGUCAAUAGUAGUUUCCUGUAUUGAUUGUGUUGUUUAUUGGAAUUAAGAAAUUAUCCAAAGCUUCAGAGAAAUUUGUGUUCAGUCGUACUAAAAACAACUGUUAUGUUUGGCAAAUUUCUUAUUUUAUCAGUGACAUUACUGAGUGUCUUCCAAAAACAAUGUGCAGGAACAAUUCAGUGUUAUGACGGAUUUUGUGAAUCCAAAGACCUGUCUCAAUGUAUAAUAAAACCUGAUUGUCAGUUAUGUGGUACAUCAACGCUCGACAACGCUGCAGCUGGAACUAAAUCGGUAUAUCGUGAGUGCGGGACGAGAGCCCAGAAGGUGACCGCUGGGUGCCUUGAUACCGGUGUUCCUCUAGUAUUUAUUGGACUUCCUGGAACCUUUAGUAGAUUCUGUUGCAACAGCGAUUUAUGCAAUCCAGCAUCCAUCCUUCAUGGCGGCUUCAUAUCCUUGUUAGUCCCGGCGGUAGUGUAUUUUGCGGCGUAUUCGUGAAUCAGCUCGCAAUUCCGACUUCCAAUAAAUUAUUGUAUACGGACAAUAUAAAGCCUAUACGUGAUCUGACCUUUUUAUUAAUAAUUUCCACUGAAACAUGCAUGGUUUAUUAAUUACACAAUAUUUCAUCCAGUG
Molecule: long non-coding RNA, 806 nt
Organism: Paramacrobiotus metropolitanus
Lineage: Eukaryota; Metazoa; Tardigrada; Eutardigrada; Parachela; Macrobiotidae
Exons: 3
Source: RefSeq, a predicted model, not a curated record